UACGAAGGGGGCUAGCGUUGUUCGGAAUCACUGGGCGUAAAGGGCGCGUAGGCGGCUUUAUAAGUCGGGGGUGAAAGCCUGUGGCUCAACCACAGAAUUGCCUUCGAUACUGUAGAGCUUGAGACCGGAAGAGGUAAGUGGAACUGCGAGUGUAGAGGUGAAAUUCGUAGAUAUUCGGAAGAACACCAGUGGCGAAGGCGGCUCACUGGACCGGCAUUGACGCUGAGGUGCGAAAGCGUGGGGAGCAAACAGG
Molecule: ribosomal RNA, 253 nt
Filed under: uncultured bacterium
Lineage: Bacteria
Description: partial 16S ribosomal RNA
Rfam family: Bacterial small subunit ribosomal RNA
Source: RNAcentral